RNAcentral lists this ribosomal RNA (414 nucleotides) under uncultured microorganism. RNAcentral's name for it is "bacterial SSU rRNA". It matches the Rfam family "Archaeal small subunit ribosomal RNA", at positions 459 to 872 of the family's 1478-position model. The record is from RNAcentral.
CAGCCGCCGCGGUAAUACCGGCGGCCCGAGUGGCGGCCACUAUUAUUGGGCCUAAAGCGUCCGUAGCCGGGCUGGUAAGUCCUCCGGGAAAUCUGGUCGCUUAACGAUCAGACUUCCGGAGGAUACUGCUGGCCUAGGGACCGGGAGAGGCCGAGGGGAUUCCCGGGGUAGGGGUGAAAUCCUGUAAUCCCGGGAGGACCACCUGUGGCGAAGGCGCUCGGCUGGAACGGGUCCGACGGUGAGGGACGAAGGCCAGGGGAGCGAACCGGAUUAGAUGCCCGGGUAGUCCUGGCUGUAAACGAUGCGGACUAGGUGUCGGGCAAGCUAAGGGCUUGUCCGGUGCCGCAGGGAAGCCGUUAAGUCCGCCGCCUGGGGAGUACGGCCGCAAGGUUGAAACUUAAAGGAAUUGGCGGG